CGGGGAGUAGCGCAGCCUGGUAGCGCAUCUGCUUUGGGAGCAGAGGGUCGCAGGUUCAAAUCCUGUCUCCCCGACCA
This 77-nucleotide transfer RNA is filed under the name Erythrobacter sp. Its description in RNAcentral is "tRNA-Pro". It matches the Rfam family "tRNA". Rfam says of the family: Transfer RNA (tRNA) molecules are approximately 80 nucleotides in length. The record is from RNAcentral. RNAcentral also lists the same sequence under 6 other names. Lineage: Bacteria; Pseudomonadati; Pseudomonadota; Alphaproteobacteria; Sphingomonadales; Erythrobacteraceae.